AGCAGCCGCGGUAAUUCCAGCUCCAAUAGCGUAUAUUAAAGUUGUUGCAGUUAAAAAGCUCGUAGUUGAAUUUCGGGGUCAGUAGGAUGGUCGUGCCAAUGGUAUGUACUGGCUUUACUGAUUCCUCCUUCUUGAAGAACUGUAAUGCCAUUAAUUUGGUGUUGCAGGGAAUCAGGACUGUUACUUUGAAAAAAUUAGAGUGUUUAAAGCAGGCUUACGCUUGAAUACAUUAGCAUGGAAUAAUGAAAUAGGACGUUGAUCUUAUUUUGUUGGUUUCUAGGAUUGACGUAAUGAUUAAUAGGGAUAGUUGGGGGCAUUAGUAUUCAAUUGCCAGAGGUGAAAUUCUUGGAUUUAUUGAAGACUAACUACUGCGAAAGCAUUUGCCAAGGAUGUUUUCAUUAAUCAAGAACGAAGGUUAGGGGAUCGAAGACGAUCAGAUACCGUCGUAGU
RNAcentral lists this ribosomal RNA (450 nucleotides) under uncultured Glomeromycotina. RNAcentral describes it as "SSU rRNA". It matches the Rfam family "Eukaryotic small subunit ribosomal RNA", at positions 569 to 1024 of the family's 1831-position model. Lineage: Eukaryota; Fungi; Glomeromycota. The record is from RNAcentral.